AACUGUAAUAUAUAUAUAUAUAUAUAUAUAGAGUUGAGCUAGAAUACUAUCAGUAGUAAGCGAGCCGUUUUACUACCGAUUUGUUUUGAUGAUAGAACUUUCAAAUUGACGAUCGGCUUCGUUGAACAUGAUUUAUACCACUUGAAGUGUUUAGAAAUCAAAUUUCAAAUCUUUUCGAUAUCAUUUGCCUAAUGAUCAAAGGGUUUCAAAAUUUAUAAUUNAUUAAGCUCUCAUAUUCUUAAAAGUAUCAAGUCAUUAGUGCUUCUAGGUUUUCGGCUCUUGAAUUAAGAGACGUGUGGUUAUAAUAAUAGUGGUCCCCACGGAUUGAGUGGUUGGAUGGUUGAAUAAUAUGAUCUAACAGAUGAAAAUAGUCAAAUGGUUAGAUUUAACGAUAAAAAACUUACAAGCACACCCCAAGUGCUUGAUGCAUUUAAAAGCAUAGUAGCCAAACUCUCUCUCUCUAUAUACAUAUAGUAGGACCCAC
Molecule: long non-coding RNA, 484 nt
Filed under: Ananas comosus (pineapple)
Lineage: Eukaryota; Viridiplantae; Streptophyta; Magnoliopsida; Poales; Bromeliaceae
Description: long non-coding RNA (ACOM_LNC008317)
Source: RNAcentral